Molecule: ribosomal RNA, 965 nt
Filed under: uncultured bacterium
Lineage: Bacteria
Description: bacterial SSU rRNA
Rfam family: Bacterial small subunit ribosomal RNA
Source: RNAcentral
GAGUUUGAUCAUGGCUCAGAUUGAACGCUGGCGGCAGGCCUAACACAUGCAAGUCGAACGGUAACAGGAUGUGCUUGCACAUCGCUGACGAGUGGCGGACGGGUGAGUAAUGCUUGGGAACUUGCCUUUGCGAGGGGGAUAACAGUUGGAAACGACUGCUAAUACCGCAUAACGUCUUCGGACCAAACGGGGCUUCGGCUCCGGCGCAGAGAGAGGCCCAAGUGAGAUUAGCUAGUUGGUAAGGUAAAGGCUUACCAAGGCGACGAUCUCUAGCUGUUCUGAGAGGAAGAUCAGCCACACUGGGACUGAGACACGGCCCAGACUCCUACGGGAGGCAGCAGUGGGGAAUAUUGCACAAUGGGGGAAACCCUGAUGCAGCCAUGCCGCGUGUGUGAAGAAGGCCUUCGGGUUGUAAAGCACUUUCAGUUGUGAGGAAAAGUUAGUAGUUAAUACCUGCUGGCCGUGACGUUAACAACAGAAGAAGCACCGGCUAACUCCGUGCCAGCAGCCGCGGUAAUACGGAGGGUGCGAGCGUUAAUCGGAAUUACUGGGCGUAAAGCGCACGCAGGCGGUUUGUUAAGCUAGAUGUGAAAGCCCCGGGCUCAACCUGGGAUGGUCAUUUAGAACUGGCAGACUAGAGUCUUGGAGAGGGGAGUGGAAUUCCAGGUGUAGCGGUGAAAUGCGUAGAUAUCUGGAGGAACAUCAGUGGCGAAGGCGACUCCCUGGCCAAAGACUGACGCUCAUGUGCGAAAGUGUGGGGUAGCGAACAGGAUNAGAUACCCUGGUAGUCCACACCGUAAACGCUGUCUACUANCCUGUUUUGUGAUUUUUAAAUCGUGGAGUAGCGAANCCUUAACGCGCUUAAGUUAAACCGCCUGGGGGAAGUACGGCCCGCCAAGGGUUNAAAAACUCAAAAUUAAAUUGACCGGGGGNCCCCCCACAAACGGGGGGAAACAUGUGGUUUG